GUAAUUACCUGGCAGGGAAGAUACCAGGAUCACAACGGAACGUUCCCACAGCAAGGCGUAAUGACUGCUUUCUAGCCAUGCUGGUCCCUGUGAUUUCCUGGAAUAUGGGAAACUCAUCUGCAUAUUUUGUGAUAAUUGACAGUGACAGCUGUUCUCUCCC
Molecule: small nuclear RNA, 160 nt
Organism: Peromyscus maniculatus bairdii (prairie deer mouse)
Lineage: Eukaryota; Metazoa; Chordata; Mammalia; Rodentia; Cricetidae
Gene: U1
Rfam family: U1 spliceosomal RNA
About the family: U1 is a small nuclear RNA (snRNA) component of the spliceosome (involved in pre-mRNA splicing). Its 5' end forms complementary base pairs with the 5' splice junction, thus defining the 5' donor site of an intron.
Source: Ensembl